GAUAUAAGGGCGUAUGGAGGAUGCCUAGACACUAGAAGGCGAUGAAGGUCGUGGCGUGACUGCGAUAAACUUCGGGGAGCCGUCGAGCGGGCUUUGAUCCGGAGGUAACCGAAUGGGGCAACCCAAUAUGACAAACUCAUAUUAUCUCGCGUAAGCGAGAUGCGUACCUGGGGAAGUGAAACAUCUCAGUACCCAGAGGAAAAGAGAACGAAGUUAUCCCCUUAGUAGCGGCGAGCGAAAAGGGAACAGCCUAAACCGAUUUCAUAAUUUAUUAUGUCGUCGGGGUAAUAGGGAUAGUACAACUAAAAAUUUGAAUUUCGGUCUUCUUGAUCGAGAUUCAAGUUUUUAAAAGAAGUUACAAAUUCGUGCGUUAGCAGAAUGGCCCUGGAAUGGCCAACCAAAGAAGGUGACAGUCCUGUAAGCGAAAACAAACGAACUUCUGUAUUAUUUCCUGAGUAGCCCGGGAUAAGGAUGUCCUGGGUGAAUUUGUCCAUACUACUGGAUAAGGCUAAAUACUUCUAGUGAUCGAUAGUGAACCAGUACCGUGAGGGAAAGGUGAAAAGCACCCCGAUGAGGGGAGUGAAAUAGCAACUGAAACCAUAUGCCUACAAAGAGCAGGAGCCGUACUUUGCACAGAGAUCCUAAGUCCUAAACGAAUUGGAAAAUUGUUUAGAGUUUGGAAAUUAGAAUUUAGAGUUUCCGUGCAGGGUGCGGUGACUGUGUGCCUAUUGAAGAAUGACCCAACGAGUUUAUUUAAAUUACACUCUAAGUCCUUAUGGGACGAAGGGGAAGGGAAACCGAGUGUUAAUAGCGCGUCAUCCAACUUAAAUUUUUGGACUACGUAAGUUCAAAAAUUUAAGUUGGAUAUGUAGUUUGAGUAAGACCCGAAGCCAGGCGAGCUAACCAUGACCAGGAUGAAGGUUACCGAAAGGUAACUGGAGGUCCGAACCAGUUGGUAGCGCAAUACCAUUGGAUGAGUUGUGGUUCGUAGUGAAAAGCUUAUCGAGCUUGGUAAUAGCUGGUUCUCUCCGAAAUGCCUUUAGGGGCAGCGUUGCACAGUAGCAGAGGGGGUAGAGCACUGAAUGGUAAUCCGUGCCCUUUUGGGUAGGACUACCAAACAAACUCCGAAUACCUUUGUGGAAUGUGCGGCAGUGAGUAAGCGGGGGCAAAGCUUCGUUUACGCAAGGGAAACAGCCCAGAUCACCGCUUAAGGUCCCAAAAUUUAGACUAAGUGAAAAGGAAGUGUUUUGCCUUAGACAGGUAGGAGGUUGGCUUAGAAGCAGCCAUCCUUUAAAGAGUGCGUAAUAGCUCACUAUUCGAUCUCAUCGCAAGAUGAGGAGGCAAAGUGCGCCGAAAAUUUAUAGGGGCUAAGUCUAAUACCGAAAGCGUGGGUUCGGUGAUUUCAUAAAGGAAAGUUGUGGACAGAGAUAGUUCAAGGGAAGAACAUCUGGCCUCAUAAGCCAGAGAUACGUGGCUCAACUCCACGGCUCUGUCCCAUAAGUCGGGCGGGAACGACAAUCAAUUUCAUACAGAACCUGUCUGCCAGACACAGCGGGUUCCACGAUUGUUGUUUUCGUCCGACAACCUUUCAUCUCGUUCUUCGAGAUGUCCUUUAUGAAACCACCGAGCGGUAGGAGAGCAUUCUGAUCUGCUGUGAAGGUUCGCUGUGAAGCGGGCUGGAGCGGUCAGAAGGGAAAAUGUUGGGAUGAGUAACCGCAAGACCGGUUAAAGUCCGGUCCGUCGUAAGCCUAAGGUUUCCUCCGCGAUGGCAAUCAUCGGAGGGUUAGGCGUCCCUAAGGAUAACCGUGCUUUCGAGCGCGGGAUGCCGAUGGUGAGCCGGUUAAUAUUCCGGCCCCACUUAUGUAUAUCUGAUUGAGAUGACGGGCAACACAAGAUCAAGCACAUUAUUGGAUUUGAUGUUUUCCACCCAUAGACUUUCUACCAGGAAAAUCCGGUAGAGGCCGCAAGGCAAUGUCGAGGGUAGAAGAAAUCGUCGCAAGACGAGAUUUGAUCGAAGAGGGCUCCAAGAAAAGUCUCUAAUGUUAGUACAUGAGUGCACGUACCUAAAACCGAAACAGGUGGGCUGGUGUAAGUGCACCAAGACGAACNNNNNNNNNNNNNNNNNNNNNNNNNNNNNNNNNGUGAACGACGGCAGUAACUAUAACUGUCUAAAAGUAGCAAAAUACCUUGUGGGGUAAGUUCCCACGCGCAUGAAUAGCGGAACGACUGGGGGACUGUCUCAACCAAUAGCCCGGUGAAAAUGCAAUGUCGGUAAAGAUGCCGACUUCCCGCGCCAAGACGGAAAGACCCCGGAAGCUUCACUGCAGCUUGGUAUUGGUCUACGAGUUGUUAUACGUAGCGUAGUGAGUAGGAUUUGAAGCCACACUCUCGGGUGUGGUGGAUCCGCCAAUGAAACACUCAUUUUAACGAUUUGUAGCUCUAACCGGUAACACCCUAAAAGGGUGGGACAAUAAAAGCUAAAGUAAGCUCCUGGUGAUAGAUUUAUUACUGAGAAUUUUAGUAAUCAAUCUUAUGGAGUUAUUUUAGAUUUUAUCAAUGUCUUACUUUUCUAGGGUGUUAUCGAGACAGUGCCUGGCGGGCAGUUUAAGUGGGGCACUUUCCUCCCAAAAAGUAAUGGAGGAGUUCAUCAAGGUUGGCUAGCUCCGGAUGGAAAUCGGAGCGAUAGUGUAAAGGCACAAGCCAGCUUUACUGCAAGGCGGAUAUGCCGCGCAGUUGCGAAAGCAGGACCUAGUGAACCGACUCUAACUCGUAGGAGUGGAGAAGAUCAUCAGAUAAAAGCUACUCCGGGGAUAACAGGCUAGUCUUGCCCGAGCGUUCACAGCGACGGCAAGGUUCGGCACCUCGAUGUCGGCUCGCCCUAUCCUGGGACUGAAGAAGGCCCCAAGGGUUUGGCUGUUCGCCAAUUAAAAGGGUACGCGAGCUGGGUUCAAACCGUCGUGAGACAGGUUGGUCCAUAUCUGGCGUGGGCGUUGAAUAUUUGAGAGGGGUUGUCCCUAGUACGAGAGGACCGGGACGAACAAACCUCUGGUGAACCAGCUGUUCUGCCAAGAGCAUCGCUGGAUAGCUAUGUUUGGUUCUGAUAAGCGCUGAAAGCAUAUAAGCGCGAAGCAGGCCUCAAGAUGAGAUAUUCUGGAUCCCUUGUAGACUACAAGGUUGAUAGGACUCAGGUGUAAGCACAGCGAUGUGUUCAGCCGAGAGUUACUAAUUGAUC
Molecule: ribosomal RNA, 3232 nt
Filed under: Candidatus Yanofskyibacteriota bacterium
Lineage: Bacteria; Candidatus Yanofskyibacteriota
Description: bacterial LSU rRNA
Rfam family: Bacterial large subunit ribosomal RNA
Source: RNAcentral